This is a long non-coding RNA of Brassica oleracea var. oleracea, 178 nucleotides long. RefSeq lists it as uncharacterized. The transcript is spliced from 2 exons. The record is from RefSeq and is a predicted model, not a curated record. NCBI's taxonomy places the organism in Eukaryota, Viridiplantae, Streptophyta, Magnoliopsida, Brassicales, Brassicaceae.
CCACAUACUGUUAUCUCGGCUGGUGGAAUCUGAAACGCCUUUGGAAGUCGAAGAUAGAACUCAAGACGCAACUUUUCCAUUGUCUCGGGGUUUGAUUGAAUGAUUCUUUUGUGUGACACACCAUCAUCUAGCUUCAAACGGAAGAGUAGUGAUCAACUAAACACUGAUUUGAGGGACC